UACGAAGGGGGCUAGCGUUGCUCGGAAUCACUGGGCGUAAAGGGUGCGUAGGCGGGUCUUUAAGUCAGGGGUGAAAUCCUGGAGCUCAACUCCAGAACUGCCUUUGAUACUGAGGAUCUUGAGUUCGGGAGAGGUGAGUGGAACUGCGAGUGUAGAGGUGAAAUUCGUAGAUAUUCGCAAGAACACCAGUGGCGAAGGCGGCUCACUGGCCCGAUACUGACGCUGAUGCACGAAAGCGUGGGAGCAAACAGG
Molecule: ribosomal RNA, 252 nt
Filed under: uncultured bacterium
Lineage: Bacteria
Description: partial 16S ribosomal RNA
Rfam family: Bacterial small subunit ribosomal RNA
Source: RNAcentral